GUUUGUGAUUUGGAUGGAUAAACCUCGAUGGAAGCCGUGCACCAACUGUGUUCCAGGAACAAUCUGCCUGUCUAAAUCACAGCACCAGAAAACAAAAGGAGUCACAUAAUGAACUACCUGUGAAGGAGAAGCCCAAGGAUCACAACAGGCAUUCCCUCUAGACUGUAAGCUCUUUGUGGGCAGGGAACAUGCCUAGCAUCUUUGCACAGAGUAAGUGCUCAAUAAAUACAAUUGAUUGAUAAACAGAAACUAUGCCGGGGGACUCUUCCCUGGAAUUCCCGUGAAAGAAUGGGGUGCUUUGGGAAAACUACCCAUUUUCAUAUGUCAAUGCCCAUGUUUUUUGAAGCUUUUUUUUUUUAAACAAAUAAACCAAUUUAGCAUGGCCUGCCAACAUUUGA
Long non-coding RNA from Ornithorhynchus anatinus (platypus), 398 nucleotides. RefSeq lists it as uncharacterized. The transcript is spliced from 2 exons. Lineage: Eukaryota; Metazoa; Chordata; Mammalia; Monotremata; Ornithorhynchidae. The record is from RefSeq and is a predicted model, not a curated record.